GGGUAAUACUAUUAUAUUAUACAGUACAACAGACAGGGACAGGGGUAAUAAUAUUAUAUUAUACAGUAUAACAGACAGGGACAGGGGUAAUAAUAUUAUAUUAUACAGUACAACAGACAGGGACAGAGACAGGGGUAAUAAUAUUAUAUUAUACAGUACAACAGACAGGGACAGAGACAGGGGUAAUAAUAUUAUAUUAUACAGUACAACAGACAGGGACAGAGACAGGGGUAAUAAUAUUAUAUUAUACACUACAACAGACAGGAGAGGUAAUAAUAUUAUAUUUUACAGUACAACAGACAUGGACAGGGGUAAUAAUAAUAUAUUAUACAGUACAACAGACAGGGACAGAGACAGGGGUAAUAAUAUUAUAUUAUACAGUACAACAGACAGGGACAGAGACAGGGGUAAUAAUAUUAUAUUAUACACUACAACAGACAGGAGAGGUAAUAAUAUUAUAUUUUACAGUACAACAGACAUGGACAGGGGUAAUAAUAAUAUAUUAUACAGUACAACAGACAGGGACAGGGGUAAUAAUAUUAUAUUAUACAGUACAACAGACAGGGACAGAGACAGGGGUAAUAAUAUAUUAUACAGUACAACAGACAGGGACAGGGGUAAUAAUAUUAUAUUAUACAGUACAACAGACAGGGACAGGGGUCAUAUUAUAUUAUACAGUACAACAGACAGGGACAGAGGUAAUAAUAUUAUAUUAUAGAGUACAACAGACAGGGACAGGGGUAAUAAUAUUAUAUUUUACAGUACAACAGACAGGGACAGAGGUAAUAAUAUUAUAUUAUACAGUACAACAGACAGGGACAGGGGUAAUAAUAUAUUAUACAGUACAACAGACAGGGACAGAGGUAAUAAUAUUAUAUUAUACAGUACAACAGACAGGGACAGGGGUAAUAAUAUAUUAUACAGUACAACAGACAGGGACAGGGGUAAUAAUAUUAUAUUAUACAGUACAACAGACAGGGACAGGGGUAAUAAUAU
Long non-coding RNA from Oncorhynchus tshawytscha (Chinook salmon), 996 nucleotides. The record is from Ensembl. Lineage: Eukaryota; Metazoa; Chordata; Actinopteri; Salmoniformes; Salmonidae.